This 1087-nucleotide long non-coding RNA is filed under the name Helianthus annuus (common sunflower). RNAcentral describes it as "hypothetical non coding rna". Lineage: Eukaryota; Viridiplantae; Streptophyta; Magnoliopsida; Asterales; Asteraceae. The record is from RNAcentral.
AUGAAACCGGGCUUGAAGCCACUAUUAAUGCCAUUCUCGCCUAGCCAAUCAUCACAAGAAUUAUCAGGUAUUGAAGUUGUAAUUAGAGCCUGUUUAAUUCAGUUGUAAUUACCAAACAUAGUAUAUCUAUUGCAGUUGAUAUAUGUAUUAUGCAUUAUGAUGAUUGAUGAACACUUUUUUAGGUUACUGUUUGUAUGUGUAUAUAUAUUUAUUUAUUAUAUGAACAUUAUACUUUUUCUUUAAUAAAGGUUCUUUGUUUGACUUUUGUAGUUGGAUUGGAUUUCACUAAUAGCUAGCUGGUAUAUAUUUUUCCUAAAGGAACUUUUGUAUCAUAUUAAUUUGUUCGAUUACUUUGAAACCAUCAGACUAUAUGUAUCGCUAUUAAUGGAUUUGUUUACUUUUGCUCUUGAUUGAUGUAAAGUUAGUGUUAUUUACAGCUAUGAACCAACAUCAUUGAUCUCGCUGAUCCAAAUGAGCUUGAGUAAGUUAUUAUUAUCUAUAAAUUUUGGGUAGUAAAGAUAUAAAGAUUAUAUUGUUUUUCUAUGUCGGAUAUUUAUCUUCUUGUAGGUGGUGGUGGCCAUUACUGUGGUAACAGGUAAAUUGUUGAGUAAAAUGAUUUAGGAGGUUGUAUGAAUAAAAAUUCUUUUUUGACUGAGUGAUUGGUUUAACCCAUUUUCGAUCUAAACACAACAAAGACUGACGCUUCUAUAAAUAAAUGGUUUGGAACUGCUACUUGUCUAAGCAAACUUUUUAUCAUCUUUUCUAAAGCAUAUUUUCUUUAACAUAUGAAUGCAGCUUGCUGUGAAAAGUUAUCACCAUCUAAUUGAGGCCACGUUCAAAGAUUUUGCAAGAGCUCUUAGAUAAGCGAUAGAAUACGACCGACGGUGACGUGGCACUAUCCCUAGGUUAGUUCUCAUACAUAUAUCUGAAAUGUAUACUUUUCUAAGGACGUUUGUGCCUUUUUCAAUAUAGACAAACAAUAUUGUUGUUCAUUAAAUCUGUGUUACAAAAUAAAAAAACAGAAACUACAAAAGAACAUAUGCUAUAGCUCAAAAGAGGUAUUGGCGCGUUCCUGGAGUGCGCUCUA